CUCUACGGCCAUACCACCCUGAACGCGCCCGGUCUCGUCUGAUCUCGGAAGCUAAGCAGGGUCGGGCCUGGUUAGUACUUGGAUGGGAAAAAGUCAGUAAUCUUUCCUC
RNAcentral lists this ribosomal RNA (109 nucleotides) under Mesocricetus auratus (golden hamster). The record is from RNAcentral. Lineage: Eukaryota; Metazoa; Chordata; Mammalia; Rodentia; Cricetidae.